Molecule: ribosomal RNA, 568 nt
Filed under: Thismia brunneomitra
Lineage: Eukaryota; Viridiplantae; Streptophyta; Magnoliopsida; Dioscoreales; Thismiaceae
Description: partial large subunit ribosomal RNA
Rfam family: Eukaryotic large subunit ribosomal RNA
Source: RNAcentral
ACUACGCGCUAACCUAGAACCCACAAAGGGUGUUGGUCGAUUAGGACAGCAGGACGGUGGUCAUGGAAGUCGAAAUCCGCUAAGAAGUGUGUAACAACUCACCUGCCGAAUCAACUAGCCCCGAAAAUGGAUGGCGCUCAAGCGUGUGACCUAUACCCGUCCAUCUCGGCAAGUGCCAAGCCUUGAUGAGUAGGAGGGCGCGAUGUUCGCUCAGAACUCUCGGGUGUGAGCCUGGUUGGAGCGGGCAUCGGUGCAGAUCUUGGUGGUAGUAGUAAAUAUUCAAAUGAGAGCUUUGAAGGCCGAAGUGGGGAAAGGUUCCAUGUGAACGGUGCUUGCACAUGGGUUAGCCGAUCCUAAGGGAUGGGGUAAUCUCGUCUAAGAGCGCGAUUGUCGUGCGAUCUUCGAAAGGGAAGCGGGUUAAAAUUCCCUUGCCGAGAUGUGGCGGUUGAUGGUAACAUCUGGAAGUCCGGAGAUGUCGGUGGGGGCCCCGUGGAGAGUUAUCUUUUCUGUUUAACGAUCUCUUCGCCCUGGAAAUGGUUCAGCCGGAGGUAGGGUGUAAUGGUCGAAA